CCUACGGGUGGCUGCAGUGAGGAAUAUUGGUCAAUGGACGGAAGUCUGAACCAGCCAUGCCGCGUGCAGGAAGACGGCUCUAUGAGUUGUAAACUGCUUUUGUACAAGGGUAAACCUGAAUACGUGUAUUCAGCUGAAAGUACUGUACGAAUAAGGCACGGCUAACUCCGGGCCAGCAGCCGGCGGAAUCAGGAGGAUCCAAGCGUUAUACGGAUUUAUGGGGUUUAAAGGGUGCGUAGGCGGAUUGAUAAGUUAGAGGUGAAAUGUCCGAGCUUAACUCGGGAACUGCCGCUAAUACUGGUGAUCUAGAGAGUAGAUGCGGUAGGCGGAAUGUAUGGUGUAGCGGUGAAAUGCUUAGAGAUCAUACAGAACACCGAUUGCGAAGGCAGCUUACCAAUCUAUAUCUGACGUUGAGGCACGAAAGCGUGGGGAGCAAACAGGAUUAGAUACCCCUGUAGUC
Molecule: ribosomal RNA, 460 nt
Filed under: uncultured bacterium
Lineage: Bacteria
Description: partial 16S ribosomal RNA
Rfam family: Bacterial small subunit ribosomal RNA
Source: RNAcentral